This 404-nucleotide ribosomal RNA is filed under the name uncultured bacterium. RNAcentral describes it as "bacterial SSU rRNA". It matches the Rfam family "Bacterial small subunit ribosomal RNA", at positions 355 to 776 of the family's 1533-position model. The record is from RNAcentral.
UGGGGAAUAUUGGACAAUGGGCGCAAGCCUGAUCCAGCCAUGCCGCGUGAGUGAUGAAGGCCCUAGGGUUGUAAAGCUCUUUCGCCAGGGACGAUAAUGACGGUACCUGGAUAAGAAGCCCCGGCUAACUUCGUGCCAGCAGCCGCGGUAAUACGAAGGGGGCUAGCGUUGUUCGGAAUCACUGGGCGUAAAGCGCACGUAGGCGGAUCUUUAAGUCAGGGGUGAAAUCCCGAGGCUCAACCUCGGAACUGCCUUUGAUACUGGGGAUCUCGAGUCCGGGAGAGGUGAGUGGAACUGCGAGUGUAGAGGUGAAAUUCGUAGAUAUUCGCAAGAACACCAGUGGCGAAGGCGGCUCACUGGCCCGGAACUGACGCUGAGGUGCGAAAGCGUGGGGAGCAAACAGG